CCCUUAGAUGUUCUGGGCAGCACGCGCGCUACAAUGGUCUUCGCAAACGGAUGCAUUCUCGAAGGAGAAUGCCACUCUUGGAAUCUAUGCCUUGGUCGGGACAGUUGCUUGCAAUUUUUCGACUCGAACCAGGAAUUCCUUGUAAUCGUGAUUCAUCACAUCACGAUGAAUACGUCCCUGCCCUUUGUACACACCGCCCGUCGCUCCUACCGAUCGAAGAGUUAGGUGAAUUGUUUUGAUCGAUAAGAUUUGACUAUGGUCAACUCUCGUUGUGAAAUUCUGUGAAUCUGACUGUUUAGAGGAAGGAAAAGUCGUAACA
RNAcentral lists this ribosomal RNA (319 nucleotides) under uncultured eukaryote. Its description in RNAcentral is "partial 18S ribosomal RNA". It matches the Rfam family "Eukaryotic small subunit ribosomal RNA", at positions 1470 to 1796 of the family's 1831-position model. The record is from RNAcentral.